GGGUUGUGAGGUUAAGCGACUAAGCGUACACGGUGGAUGCCCUGGCAGUCAGAGGCGAUGAAGGACGUGCUAAUCUGCGAUAAGCGUCGGUAAGGUGAUAUGAACCGUUAUAACCGGCGAUUUCCGAAUGGGGAAACCCAGUGUGUUUCGACACACUAUCAUUAACUGAAUCCAUAGGUUAAUGAGGCGAACCGGGGGAACUGAAACAUCUAAGUACCCCGAGGAAAAGAAAUCAACCGAGAUUCCCCCAGUAGCGGCGAGCGAACGGGGAGCAGCCCAGAGCCUGAAUCAGUGUGUGUGUUAGUGGAAGCGUCUGGAAAGGCGCGCGAUACAGGGUGACAGCCCCGUACACAAAAAUGCACAUGCUGUGAGCUCGAUGAGUAGGGCGGGACACGUGGUAUCCUGUCUGAAUAUGGGGGGACCAUCCUCCAAGGCUAAAUACUCCUGACUGACCGAUAGUGAACCAGUACCGUGAGGGAAAGGCGAAAAGAACCCCGGCGAGGGGAGUGAAAAAGAACCUGAAACCGUGUACGUACAAGCAGUGGGAGCUGUGACUGCGUACCUUUUGUAUAAUGGGUCAGCGACUUAUAUUCUGUAGCAAGGUUAACCGAAUAGGGGAGCCGAAGGGAAACCGAGUCUUAACUGGGCGUUAAGUUGCAGGGUAUAGACCCGAAACCCGGUGAUCUAGCCAUGGGCAGGUUGAAGGUUGGGUAACACUAACUGGAGGACCGAACCGACUAAUGUUGAAAAAUUAGCGGAUGACUUGUGGCUGGGGGUGAAAGGCCAAUCAAACCGGGAGAUAGCUGGUUCUCCCCGAAAGCUAUUUAGGUAGCGCCUCGUGAAUUCAUCUCCGGGGGUAGAGCACUGUUUCGGCAAGGGGGUCAUCCCGACUUACCAACCCGAUGCAAACUGCGAAUACCGGAGAAUGUUAUCACGGGAGACACACGGCGGGUGCUAACGUCCGUCGUGAAGAGGGAAACAACCCAGACCGCCAGCUAAGGUCCCAAAGUCAUGGUUAAGUGGGAAACGAUGUGGGAAGGCCCAGACAGCCAGGAUGUUGGCUUAGAAGCAGCCAUCAUUUAAAGAAAGCGUAAUAGCUCACUGGUCGAGUCGGCCUGCGCGGAAGAUGUAACGGGGCUAAACCAUGCACCGAAGCUGCGGCAGCGACUGUUGUUGGGUAGGGGAGCGUUCUGUAAGCCUGUGAAGGUGUACUGUGAGGUAUGCUGGAGGUAUCAGAAGUGCGAAUGCUGACAUAAGUAACGAUAAAGCGGGUGAAAAGCCCGCUCGCCGGAAGACCAAGGGUUCCUGUCCAACGUUAAUCGGGGCAGGGUGAGUCGACCCCUAAGGCGAGGCCGAAAGGCGUAGUCGAUGGGAAACAGGUUAAUAUUCCUGUACUUGGUGUUACUGCGAAGGGGGGACGGAGAAGGCUAUGUUGGCCGGGCGACGGUUGUCCCGGUUUAAGCGUGUAGGCUGGUUUUCCAGGCAAAUCCGGAAAAUCAAGGCUGAGGCGUGAUGACGAGGCACUACGGUGCUGAAGCAACAAAUGCCCUGCUUCCAGGAAAAGCCUCUAAGCAUCAGGUAACAUCAAAUCGUACCCCAAACCGACACAGGUGGUCAGGUAGAGAAUACCAAGGCGCUUGAGAGAACUCGGGUGAAGGAACUAGGCAAAAUGGUGCCGUAACUUCGGGAGAAGGCACGCUGAUAUGUAGGUGAAG
This 1715-nucleotide ribosomal RNA is filed under the name Escherichia coli. Its description in RNAcentral is "bacterial LSU rRNA". It matches the Rfam family "Bacterial large subunit ribosomal RNA", at positions 1 to 1767 of the family's 2925-position model. The record is from RNAcentral. Lineage: Bacteria; Pseudomonadati; Pseudomonadota; Gammaproteobacteria; Enterobacterales; Enterobacteriaceae.